RNAcentral lists this ribosomal RNA (587 nucleotides) under uncultured bacterium. RNAcentral describes it as "partial 16S ribosomal RNA". It matches the Rfam family "Bacterial small subunit ribosomal RNA", at positions 355 to 1375 of the family's 1533-position model. The record is from RNAcentral.
UGGGGAAUUUUGGACAAUGGGCGAAAGCCUGAUCCAGCAAUGCCGCGUGUGUGAAGAAGGCCUUCGGGUUGUAAAGCACUUUUGUCCGGAAAGAAAUCCUUGGCUCUAAUACAGUCGGGGGAUGACGGUACCGGAAGAAUAAGCACCGGCUAACUACGUGCCAGCAGCCGCGGUAAUACGUAAGGUGCAAGCGUUAAUCGGAAUUACUGGGCGUAAAGCGUGCGCAGGCGGUUUGCUAAGACCGAUGUGAAAUCCCCGGGCUCAACCUGGGAACUGCAUUGGUGACUGGCAGGCUAGAGUAUGGCAGAGGGGGGUAGAAUUCCACGUGUAGCAGUGAAAUGCGUAGAGAUGUGGAGGAAUACCGAUGGCGAAGGCAGCCCCCUGGGCCAAUACUGACGCUCAUGCACGAAAGCGUGGGGAGCAAAACAGGAUUAGAUACCCUGGUAGUCCACGCCCUAAAACGAUGUCAACUAGUUGUUGGGGAUUCAUUUCCUUAGUAACGUAGCUAACGCGUGAAGUUGACCGCCUGGGGAGUACGGUCGCAAGAUUAAAACUCAAAUGAAUUGACGGGGUCAUAGCUGUUUCCU